RNAcentral lists this ribosomal RNA (253 nucleotides) under uncultured bacterium. RNAcentral describes it as "partial 16S ribosomal RNA". It matches the Rfam family "Bacterial small subunit ribosomal RNA", at positions 524 to 776 of the family's 1533-position model. The record is from RNAcentral.
GACGAAGGGGGCUAGCGUUGUUCGGAAUUACUGGGCGUAAAGCGCGUGUAGGCGGUUGCCCAAGUCAGGUGUGAAAGCCUUGAGCUCAACUCAAGAAAUGCACUUGGUACUGGGUGGCUAGAGGACCGGAGAGGAUAGUGGAAUUCCCAGUGUAGUGGUGAAAUACGUAGAGAUUGGGAAGAACACCAGUGGCGAAGGCGGCUAUCUGGACGGUUACUGACGCUAAGACGCGAAAGCGUGGGGAGCGAACAGG